GCGUUGUUCGGAUUUACUGGGCGUAAAGGGCGCGUAGGCGGCGCAACAAGUCACUUGUGAAAUCUCCGGGCUUAACUCGGAACGGUCAAGUGAUACUGUCGUGCUAGAGUACAGAAGGGGCAACUGGAAUUCUCGGUGUAGCGGUGAAAUGCGUAGAUAUCGAGAGGAACACCUGCGGCGAAGGCGGGUUGCUGGGCUGAUACUGACGCUGAGGCGCGAAAGCCAG
This 226-nucleotide ribosomal RNA is filed under the name uncultured bacterium. Its description in RNAcentral is "partial 16S ribosomal RNA". It matches the Rfam family "Bacterial small subunit ribosomal RNA", at positions 538 to 763 of the family's 1533-position model. The record is from RNAcentral.